AUGUUGUUGUUUAGGUGGGUCUGGGUCUGGGCUAAUGUUGUUGUCUAGGUGGGUCUGGGUCUGGGCUAAUGUUGUUGUCUAGGUGGGUCUGGGCUAAUGUUGUUGUCUAGGUGGGUCUGGGCUAAUGUUGUUGUCUAGGUGGGUCUGGGUUGAUGUUGUUGUCUAGGUGGGUCUGGGUUAAUGUUGUUGUCUAGGUGGGUCUGGGCUAAUGCUGUUGUCUAGGUGGGUCUGGGCUAAUGUUAUUGUUUAGGUGGGUCUGGGUCUGGGCUAAUGUUAUUGUUUAGGUGGGUCUGAGCUAAUGUUGUCUAGCUGGGUCUGGGCUAAUGCUGUUGUUUAGCUGGGUCUGGGCUAAUGCUGUUGUCUAGCUGGGUCUGGGCUAAUGCUGUUGUCUAGGUGGGUCUGGGUCUGGGCUAAUGUUGUUGUUUAGGUGGGUCUGGGUCUGGGCUAAUGUUGUUGUCUAGCUGGGUCUGGGCUAAUGUUGUUGUUUAGGUGGGUCUGGGCUAAUGUUGUUGUUGUUUAGGUGGGUCUGGGCUAAUGUUGUUGUUGUUGUUUAGGUGGGUCUGGGUUAAUGUUGUUGUUUAGGUGGGUCUGGGUUAAUGUUGUUUUUGUCUGUUUAUGGUGGGUCUGGGCUAAUGUUGUUGUUUAG
Oncorhynchus tshawytscha (Chinook salmon) is the source of this 646-nucleotide long non-coding RNA. Lineage: Eukaryota; Metazoa; Chordata; Actinopteri; Salmoniformes; Salmonidae. The record is from Ensembl.